Molecule: ribosomal RNA, 1544 nt
Filed under: Spaniocerca zelandica
Lineage: Eukaryota; Metazoa; Arthropoda; Insecta; Plecoptera; Notonemouridae
Description: partial 28S ribosomal RNA
Rfam family: Eukaryotic large subunit ribosomal RNA
Source: RNAcentral
UCCCGCGUAAUUUAAGCAUAUUAAUAAGCGGAGGAAAAGAAACUAACUAGGAUUCCCUUAGUAGCUGCGAGCGAACAGGGAAGAGCCCAGCACUGAAUCCUGCGCGCCCAGCGCGCGUCUGGAAAUGUAGUGUUUGGGAGGGGCCGAUCAUCUCGUGAGAGCGCACCAGUCCAAGUCCAUCUUGAAAGCGGCCACAGCCCGUAGAGGGUGCCAGGCCCGUAGGACGGUGUGUGUGACUCGAACGAAAGGUCCUCUNNNNNNNNNNNNNNNNNNNNNNNNNNNNNNNNNNNNNNNNNNNNNNNNNNCGCGACCCGUUGGGCGCGCGUCCAAGGCCCGCGCACGGAGCCGACCUCGGCGUCUGCGGUCGCGUCGUCCUCACGGACGGCCGGCGGCAGCGUCUGGUCGACGGUGCGGUGUCCCGACGCGCCCGCCCGACGGUAGCCAAACGACUCGCAAGGCAGUCGCCCGUCGUCCGCCGCGUUAAAAACGGCGGGCGGCACGGCGGCCGGCCCUUAACUGGGCACGCGUGUCGUGUCCGCGGCGCUCUAUCUAGAGCAUCAUCCGACCCGUCUUGAAACACGGACCAAGGAGUCUAACAUGUGCGCGAGUCAUUGGGACCGUACUAAACCUAGAGGCGUAAUGAAAGUGAAUGUCGGCCGCCUCGGCGGUCGGCAGAGGGGAGAUGGCGGCCGGCCCAGCGUCGCGCCGCCCGCAUCCCCGGGGCGUCUCGUUGUCAUUGCGACACAGCAGGCGCACCCAGAGCGUACACGUUGGGACCCGAAAGAUGGUGAACUAUGCCUGGUCAGGUCGAAGUCAGGGGAAACCUGGCACUCGGAGCAAAUGCACGGAGCGUCGGCGGGCGGCGCGGCUCUGCCGCUGACCGCCCGUCGGUCGCGAACACCAGUCUCAUCUGGUAAAGCGAAUGAUUAGAGGCCUUGGGGCCGAAACGACCUCAACCUAUUCUCAAACUUUAAAUGGGUGAGACAUUCGACUUGCUUAAAUGCCAUGUCGUUGAAGUCGAACCACACAAUUGUGAGCGGAUGAAAGAGUGCCAAGUGGGCCAAUUUUGGUAAGCAGAACUGGUGCUGUGGGAUGAACCAAACGUCGCGUUAAGGCGCCUAAAUCGAUGCUCAUGGGAUACCAUGAAAGGCGUUGGUUGCUUAAGACACGAUGUUGAUGUGCUGUCGUUUCACUAAUGAAUUUUUCGCACCAUGUUCCGCCCGUCUGUUUUUUUAGUUAAAAACUGCACCGUGAUAGAACGCGCGCGUUAAACGAAAAACUGAUUGACCACAUCGGGCGAAAGGGAAUCCGGUUCCUAUUCCGGAACCCGGCUGCGGAACCGACUCGCGGGCCACUCUGCAGCGAUGCAGAACUCGUCGGGGUAACCCAAAAGGACCCGGAGACGCCGUCGGAUGAUCGAGGCAGAGUUUUCUGUUCUGUAUGAGCGUUCGAGUUCCCUGGAAUCGCCUAGCGCGGAGAUAGGGUUUGGAACGCGAAGAGCACCGCACUUGCGGCGGUGUCUCGAUCUAUCCCUCGGACCUUGA